UGAGGAACAUGAUCUUCGGCGGGGGAUAGCCGGCCCAACGGCCGGGUAAUACCGCGUACGACCACAUGGGGACAUCCCUGAGUGGUGAAAGCAGCAAUGCGCCGAUGGAGUGCCUCGCGGCCUAUCAGCUAGUUGGUGUGGGUAACGCCCACCAAGGCGACGACGGGUAGCCGGCCUGAGAGGGUGACCCGGCCACACUGGGACUGAGACACGGCCCAGACCUCCGUACGGGAGG
Molecule: ribosomal RNA, 235 nt
Filed under: uncultured bacterium
Lineage: Bacteria
Description: partial 16S ribosomal RNA
Rfam family: Bacterial small subunit ribosomal RNA
Source: RNAcentral